Molecule: non-coding RNA, 72 nt
Organism: Candidatus Buchananbacteria bacterium
Lineage: Bacteria; Candidatus Buchananiibacteriota
Source: Rfam
GGUCACGUAGCCAAGUGGUAAGGCAGAGGUCUGCAAAACCUCUAUUCGCGGGUUCGAUUCCCGCCGUGACCU